Molecule: ribosomal RNA, 208 nt
Filed under: uncultured bacterium
Lineage: Bacteria
Description: partial 16S ribosomal RNA
Rfam family: Bacterial small subunit ribosomal RNA
Source: RNAcentral
ACGCUCGACACCUACGGGAAGCAGCAGUGGGGAAUAUUGCACAAUGGGGGAAACCCUGAUGCAGCGACGCCGCGUGAAGGAAGAAGUAUCUCGGUAUGUAAACUUCUAUCAGCAGGGAAGAAAAUGACGGUACCUGACUAAGAAGCCCCGGCUAACUACGUGCCAGUAGCCGCCGGUAAGUACUGAGGCGGGCCGGUGGCGAAGGACG